RNAcentral lists this ribosomal RNA (460 nucleotides) under uncultured bacterium. Its description in RNAcentral is "partial 16S ribosomal RNA". It matches the Rfam family "Bacterial small subunit ribosomal RNA", at positions 338 to 795 of the family's 1533-position model. The record is from RNAcentral.
CCUACGGGCGACAGCAGUGAGGAAUAUUGGUCAAUGGCCGGAAGGCUGAUCCAGCCAUGCCGCGUGAAGGUCAGUGCCCUAUGGGCGUUAAACUUCUUUUGUGCGGGAGCAAUAAUGGUCACGUGUGGCCAGACGAGAGUACCGUACGAAUAAGCAUCGGCUAACUCCGUGCCAGCAGCCGCGGUAAUACGGGGGAUGCAAGCGUUAUCCGGAUUUAUUGGGGUUAAAGGGUGCGUAAGCAGUGAGGUAAGUCAGCGGUGAAAUGCCCCCGCUCAACGGGGUGAAGUGCCAUUGAUACUGGCUUGCUUGAGUGCGGAUGCGGUGGGAGGAAUGUGUGGUGUAGCGGUGAAAUGCAUAGAUAUCAGAAAGAACACCGAUUGCGAAGGCAGCUCACGAAUCCGCGAUUGACGCUGAUGCACGAAAGCGUGGGUAGCAAACAGGAUUAGAUACCCGAGUAGUC